This 47-nucleotide ribosomal RNA is filed under the name Lactifluus xerampelinus. RNAcentral describes it as "partial 28S ribosomal RNA". The record is from RNAcentral. Lineage: Eukaryota; Fungi; Basidiomycota; Agaricomycetes; Russulales; Russulaceae.
UUGACCUCAAAUCGGGUGAGACYACCCGCUGAACUUAAGCAUAUCAG